RNAcentral lists this ribosomal RNA (253 nucleotides) under uncultured bacterium. RNAcentral's name for it is "partial 16S ribosomal RNA". It matches the Rfam family "Bacterial small subunit ribosomal RNA", at positions 524 to 776 of the family's 1533-position model. The record is from RNAcentral.
UACGAAGGGGGCUAGCGUUGCUCGGAAUUACUGGGCGUAAAGGGCGCGUAGGCGGACAGUUUAGUCAGAGGUGAAAGCCCAGGGCUCAACCUUGGAAUUGCCUUUGAUACUGGCUGUCUUGAGUUCGGGAGAGGUGAGUGGAACUGCGAGUGUAGAGGUGAAAUUCGUAGAUAUUCGCAAGAACACCAGUGGCGAAGGCGGCUCACUGGCCCGAUACUGACGCUGAGGCACGAAAGCGUGGGGAGCAAACAGG